Molecule: ribosomal RNA, 659 nt
Filed under: Lactobacillus helveticus
Lineage: Bacteria; Bacillati; Bacillota; Bacilli; Lactobacillales; Lactobacillaceae
Description: bacterial SSU rRNA
Rfam family: Bacterial small subunit ribosomal RNA
Source: RNAcentral
GCAGUCGAGCGAGCAUAACCAGCAGAUUUACUUCGGUAAUGACGCUGGGGACGCGAGCGGCGGAUGGGUGAGUAACACGUGGGGAACCUGCCCCAUAGCCUGGGAUACCACUUGGAAACAGGUGCUAAUACCGGAUAAGAAAGCAGAUCGCAUGAUCAGCUUAUAAAAGGCGGCGUAAGCUGUCGCUAUGGGAUGGCCCCGCGGUGCAUUAGCUAGUUGGUAAGGUAACGGCUUACCAAGGCAAUGAUGCAUAGCCGAGUUGAGAGACUGAUCGGCCACAUUGGGACUGAGACACGGCCCAAACUCCUACGGGAGGCAGCAGUAGGGAAUCUUCCACAAUGGACGCAAGUCUGAUGGAGCAACGCCGCGUGAGUGAAGAAGGUUUUCGGAUCGUAAAGCUCUGUUGUUGGUGAAGAAGGAUAGAGGUAGUAACUGGCCUUUAUUUGACGGUAAUCAACCAGAAAGUCACGGCUAACUACGUGCCAGCAGCCGCGGUAAUACGUAGGUGGCAAGCGUUGUCCGGAUUUAUUGGGCGUAAAGCGAGCGCAGGCGGAAGAAUAAGUCUGAUGUGAAAGCCCUCGGCUUAACCGAGGAACUGCAUCGGAAACUGUUUUUCUUGAGUGCAGAAGAGGAGAGUGGAAUUCCAUGUGUAGCGGUGG